This 303-nucleotide ribosomal RNA is filed under the name uncultured bacterium. Its description in RNAcentral is "partial 16S ribosomal RNA". It matches the Rfam family "Bacterial small subunit ribosomal RNA", at positions 507 to 807 of the family's 1533-position model. The record is from RNAcentral.
AGCAGUAGCCGCGGGAAUACGAAGGGGGCUAGCGUUGCUCGGAAUUACUGGGCGUAAAGCGCACGUAGGCGGAUAUUUAAGUCAGGGGUGAAAUCCCAGAGCUCAACUCUGGAACUGCCUUUGAUACUGGGUAUCUUGAGUAUGGAAGAGGUUAGUGGAAUUGCGAGUGUAGAGGUGAAAUUCGUAGAUAUUCGCAGGAACACCAGUGGCGAAGGCGGCUAACUGGUCCAUAACUGACGCUGAGGUGCGAAAGCGUGGGGAGUAAACAGGAUUAGAGACCCCGGUAGUCCCUGUCUCUUAUAC